RNAcentral lists this ribosomal RNA (465 nucleotides) under uncultured bacterium. RNAcentral's name for it is "partial 16S ribosomal RNA". It matches the Rfam family "Bacterial small subunit ribosomal RNA", at positions 28 to 507 of the family's 1533-position model. The record is from RNAcentral.
GACGAACGCUGGCGGCGUGCUUAACACAUGCCAGUCGAACGGAAAGGCCCCUUUGGGGGUACUCGAGUGGCGAACGGGUGAGUAACACGUGAGUAACCUGCCCUUGACUUCGGGAUAACUUCAGGAAACUGGGGCUAAUACCGGAUAGGAAUCCUUGCUGCAUGGUGGGGGUUGGAAAGCUUCGGCGGUUUUGGAUGGACUCGCGGCUUAUCAGCUUGUUGGUGGGGUAGUGGCUUACCAAGGCUUUGACGGGUAGCCGGCCUGAGAGGGCGACCGGCCACAUUGGGACUGAGAUACGGCCCAGACUCCUACGGGAGGCAGCAGUGGGGAAUAUUGCACAAUGGGCGGAAGCCUGAUGCAGCAACGCCGCGUGCGGGAUGACGGCCUUCGGUUUGUAAACCGCUUUCAGCAGGGGCGAAGCUUGUGGUGACGGUACCUGCAGAAGAAGCACCGGCUAACUACGUG